Molecule: Y RNA, 223 nt
Filed under: Cavia porcellus (domestic guinea pig)
Lineage: Eukaryota; Metazoa; Chordata; Mammalia; Rodentia; Caviidae
Rfam family: Y RNA
About the family: Y RNAs are components of the Ro ribonucleoprotein particle (Ro RNP), in association with Ro60 and La proteins. The Y RNAs and Ro60 and La proteins are well conserved, but the function of the Ro RNP is not known.
Source: Rfam by way of RNAcentral
GGCUGGUCCGAUGGCAGUGGGUUAUCAGAACUUAUUAACAUUAGUGUCGGGGCUGGGGGUUUAGCUCAGCGGCAUAAGCACCUGCCUUGCAAGCAGGCGGUCGUGAGUUCAAUCCUUGGUACCGAUAAAAAUGAAAAAGACAAAAAAAAACAAAAAACAAAAAACAUUAGUGUCACUAAAGUUGGUAUACCACCCCCCCACUGCUAAAUUUGACUGGCUUUAA